GGGAUAACUACUUGUAAACGGUAGCUAAUACCGCAUAACGUCGCAAGACCAAAGAGGGGGACCUUCGGGCCUCUUGCCAUCGGAUGUGCCCAGAUGGGAUUAGCUAGUAGGUGGGGUAACGGCUCACCUAGGCGACGAUCCCUAGCUGGUCUGAGAGGAUGACCAGCCACACUGGAACUGAGACACGGUCCAGACUCCUACGGGAGGCAGCAGUGGGGAAUAUUGCACAAUGGGCGCAAGCCUGAUGCAGCCAUGCCGCGUGUAUGAAGAAGGCCUUCGGGUUGUAAAGUACUUUCAGCGGGGAGGAAGGCGAUAAGGUUAAUAACCUUGUCGAUUGACGUUACCCGCAGAAGAAGCACCGGCUAACUCCGUGCCAGCAGCCGCGGUAAUACGGAGGGUGCAAGCGUUAAUCGGAAUUACUGGGCGUAAAGCGCACGCAGGCGGUCUGUCAAGUCGGAUGUGAAAUCCCCGGGCUCAACCUGGGAACUGCAUUCGAAACUGGCAGGCUAGAGUCUUGUAGAGGGGGGUAGAAUUCCAGGUGUAGCGU
This 547-nucleotide ribosomal RNA is filed under the name Enterobacter cloacae. Its description in RNAcentral is "bacterial SSU rRNA". It matches the Rfam family "Bacterial small subunit ribosomal RNA", at positions 140 to 681 of the family's 1533-position model. The record is from RNAcentral. Lineage: Bacteria; Pseudomonadati; Pseudomonadota; Gammaproteobacteria; Enterobacterales; Enterobacteriaceae.